GACGAACGCUGGCGGCGUGCUUAACACAUGCAAGUCGAACGGAAAGGCCCUGCUUGCAGGGUGCUCGAGUGGCGAACGGGUGAGUAACACGUGGGUGAUCUGCCCCUUACUUUGGGAUAAGCCUGGGAAACUGGGUCUAAUACUGGAUAGGACCAUGCUGUAGGUGGUGUGGUGGAAAGAUUAGUUUCGGUAAGGGAUGAGCUCGCGGCCUAUCAGCUUGUUGGUGGGGUAAUGGCCUACCAAGGCGUCGACGGGUAGCCGGCCUGAGAGGGUGGACGGCCACAUUGGGACUGAGAUACAGCCCAGACUCCUACGGGAGGCAGCAGUGGGGAAUAUUGCACAAUGGGCGCAAGCCGGAUGCAGCGACGCCGCGUGGGGGAUGACGGCCUUCGGGUUGUAAACUCCUUUCAGCCAUGACGAAGCCCUUGUGGUGACGGUAGUGGUAGAAGAAGCACCGGCUAACUACGUG
This 469-nucleotide ribosomal RNA is filed under the name uncultured bacterium. Its description in RNAcentral is "partial 16S ribosomal RNA". It matches the Rfam family "Bacterial small subunit ribosomal RNA", at positions 28 to 507 of the family's 1533-position model. The record is from RNAcentral.